This 2148-nucleotide long non-coding RNA is filed under the name Carassius auratus (goldfish). RNAcentral's name for it is "lncRNA (ENSCARG00000064249.1)". Lineage: Eukaryota; Metazoa; Chordata; Actinopteri; Cypriniformes; Cyprinidae. The record is from RNAcentral.
GUCAUAACUUAUGACAACAAACUGUUAGAAGAAAGGGAUCAUUGGAGUUCUAUACUAAAGGUGCUAUCUUCUAAUUUGUUUAUCAGAUCCAGGUGUAAAUAAUCUAAUAUUCUUUUUCUUUUUUUUCUUUUUUUGGAACACCUGACAUCCCCGCAAAACAGUUCUCAUUCGCGCUUGAAUAUGAAACGUCCAUGAGUGAACGUCAUGAUUCAGUUCAUCUGGAAGGGAAGACCUGAAGACCUCAGCUGUGUGGGAGCACUUUAAAUUGUGUGAGGACAAGACAAAGGCUGUGUGGCAAAUAUACGAUUUGAAACUGGCCUACCACAACAGCACAUCAAGUUUGAAAAAUCUUCUAUCUUCUACGUAUAUUGUUGGUGUAAAAAAAAAAAAGCUGCUUUUAUCCGCCAUGUUAAUAAGUAGGCUAGCUAAUUUUACACAUGAUAAAAACGUGCACUUAUUUGCUUGGAAAAUACUUGCGAAUACGGAAGUGAUCACAAAAACGUACAGUCCAGCCCUUAUAAUAAUUUGUCGUGUCACUAGAACAGUGUGUACGUUUUAAGAGCAUAUAAGCCCUGCCCGCGUGAAGCACCGCUUCCGGCUCGCGCUGUUCUGUAGAUUAAAAGUUUAUUCAUUCUGAACGUGUCGCGUGUCCAAAUUGCACCAAAAUGUGACCCUGCACUUCCUUUGAUCCGCAGCAAUACACGGACCACGCAUGAAGUCGAUUGGAUGAACUGUUCUUGGCAAACACAGACAAACACACAGAGAUUGCAGCCUUUUAUUCUAGAGAAUAAUAUGUUCAGCCCCCUCCAAAGCUUCGAAUAUUAGGUGUUGAUUACUACCGAAGUUUCGAAGCUUAUAAUCUUUUUAUUUGGACCAGCCCUACUGUAUGCAUGCAGUAAAACAUUUUCAUCAGCUUUACCAUGCAAAAAUCACAAACACAGUCUCUUUUUUAACCUCUUUCAUGCAUCUCUGUUCGGAGUAACAAUGAAGCUCCUCCCUCUCUGCUCUCCACUCUCUCUCUCUCUCUCUCUCUCUCUCUGUGUUUCUCUCUGUUUGGAUCUGUCAGUCUCUGUGCUGGUGUUUGGUGGCAGCGUUUCUCUUCACUGCAGGGGCAGCUUCAUUCUCUCCUCCAGGAUGUCGGGCCUUCUGACCAGCUCUCUUCUGCUCUUCCUCUCCCUGACGCUGUUCCAGAUCCCCACAUCAGAGGCAAAGCCUCUCUCUACCAUGCGUGGAGGAGGUCGCAGCUUUGACAUCCAGGCAGCUGAAAUCCGUCUGCGAAGAGACCUGCGAGAUUCAGUGCCCUACGAGGCACAGAUGAUGUCUUACCCCACUGCUGACUUCAGGAGUCGGAGCAAUGAUCUGUACUACCAACCAGAGGUCUUAAGAGCUCAAGGUCUUGGACAAGCCCUCCAGCGGCUGGUGGAGAACGACCAGAGGCGGGAACAGGAAGCAGUUUAUCUGGCGUCAAUGCUGCGUCUCCUAAACGAGGCACAGAAUAACGGACAAGGCAAACCAGAGGAAGAGGAGGAGGAGGAGGGUGAUUUCCAGGGCCCAUACCCUCCGGACUACGAUGAGACCGAGCAGGCUGUGAGCAUGGCCAAGCCCCAGGCCUCAUGGCAGGGCCUUCUGGAUCCUCAGCUUACUCAGGCUCUGCUCAACCGCUACAAGCAGGAGAGACUGAUGCAGGCUGGACUCGCUCAAAACACCAACAGGAUAUCAGAGAGAGAGCAGGACAAAGACCAAGAGAUGCUCAGGUACCUUGUUGAGAAAAUCCUCUCCAGCUUGGCAUCGGGUGGCAGUCAGGGAGGUCCUUCAAACCAGCGUGCUAAACGGGAUCUGAGCGCUGUGGCCAACAUGGAGCAAUCUGGAGGAUCCGCCCUAAAACGCUCCCGCCGGUCCCUGGACUCCGCCCCUGGCCCCUCCCCCCACGCCGAGGCAUCACUGCUGAGGGUGAAACGGCUCGAUGGUGAUGUGGAUGACGAAGAGGUUGCAGGGCAGAGCAACAGAACACCACACGUCGGCCUACAGAGAAUGAAGCGCAUAGACACUGACCUGCCGUCCCCCAAAAAACACAGCCGCAAGCGCAGAGCCCUGACCUAUGACCCCGCUCUGAUCGCCCAGCAUAUCCUGCAGUACCUGCCAGCUUAA